This 409-nucleotide ribosomal RNA is filed under the name bacterium. RNAcentral describes it as "partial 16S ribosomal RNA". It matches the Rfam family "Bacterial small subunit ribosomal RNA", at positions 355 to 776 of the family's 1533-position model. The record is from RNAcentral.
UGGGGAAUAUUGCACAAUGGGCGAAAGCCUGAUGCAGCGACGCCGCGUGAGGGAUGACGGCCUUCGGGUUGUAAACCUCUUUCAGUAGGGACGAAGCGCAAGUGACGGUACCUGCAGAAGAAGCACCGGCUAACUACGUGCCAGCAGCCGCGGUAAUACGUAGGGUGCGAGCGUUGUCCGUAAUUACUGGGCGUAAAGAGCUCGUAGGCGGUUUGUCACGUCGUCUGUGAAAUCCUAGGGCUUAACACUGGACGUGCAGGCGAUACGGGCUGACUUGAGUACUACAGGGGAGGCUGGAAUUUCUGGUGUAGCGGUGGAAUGCACAGAUAUCAGGAAGAACACCGAUGGCGAAGGCAGGUCUCUGGGUAGUAACUGACGCUGAGGAGCGAAAGCAUGGGUAGCGAACAGG